This 481-nucleotide ribosomal RNA is filed under the name uncultured Glomeromycotina. Its description in RNAcentral is "SSU rRNA". It matches the Rfam family "Eukaryotic small subunit ribosomal RNA", at positions 596 to 1077 of the family's 1831-position model. The record is from RNAcentral. Lineage: Eukaryota; Fungi; Glomeromycota.
AGUGUAUAUUAAAGUUGUUGCAGUUAAAAAACUCGUAGUUGAAUUUCGGGAUCAAUACGUCGGUCAUGCUUUUUGGUACGAACUGGCGUCAUUGGUUUCUCCUUUCUGACGAACCAUGAUGUCAUUAAUUUGGUGUUAUGGAAAGUUGGGACUGUUACUUUGAAAAAAUUAGAGUGUUUAAAGCAGGCAUAAGCUUGAAUACAUUAGCAUGGAAUAAUGAAAUAGGACGUUUGAUCCUAUUUUGUUGGUUUCUAGGAUCAACGUAAUGAUUAAUAGGGAUAGUUGGGGGCAUUAGUAUUCAAUUGUCAGAGGUGAAAUUCUUGGAUUUAUUGAAGACUAACUACUGCGAAAGCAUCUGCCAAGGAUGUUUUCAUUAAUCAAGAACGAAAGUUAGGGGAUCGAAGACGAUCAGAUACCGUCGUAGUCUUAACCAUAAACUAUGCCGACUAGGGAUCGGAUGAUGUUAAUUUUUUAAUGACUC